RNAcentral lists this non-coding RNA (101 nucleotides) under Corethron hystrix. The record is from RNAcentral. Lineage: Eukaryota; Bacillariophyta; Corethrophyceae; Corethrales; Corethraceae.
CGGUUGCAGAGUUUGCUGGAAAUUUGCACAAUUUUUUUACUUCGUGCAGUAAAAUCAGUAAAAGUUCAUGAAAUGCCAAAGCAACCAAAAGGAUUCACCCC